RNAcentral lists this ribosomal RNA (497 nucleotides) under uncultured bacterium. RNAcentral describes it as "partial 16S ribosomal RNA". It matches the Rfam family "Bacterial small subunit ribosomal RNA", at positions 28 to 507 of the family's 1533-position model. The record is from RNAcentral.
GAUGAACGCUGGCGGCGUGCCUAAUACAUGCAAGUCGAGCGAACAGACGAGGAGCUUGCUCCUCUGACGUUAGCGGCGGACGGGUGAGUAACACGUGGAUAACCUACCUAUAAGACUGGGAUAACUUCGGGAAACCGGAGCUAAUACCGGAUAAUAUAUUGAACCGCAUGGUUCAAUAGUGAAAGACGGUUUUGCUGUCACUUAUAGAUGGAUCCGCGCCGCAUUAGCUAGUUGGUAAGGUAACGGCUUACCAAGGCAACGAUGCGUAGCCGACCUGAGAGGGUGGUCGGCCACACUGGAACUGAGACACGGUCCAGACUCUUACGGGAGGCAGCAGUAGGGAAUCUUCCGCAAUGGGCGAAAGCCUGACGGAGCAACGCCGCGUGAGUGAUGAAGGUCUUCGGAUCGUAAAACUCUGUUAUUAGGGAAGAGCAAAUGUGUAAGUAACUAUGCACGUCUUGACGGUACCUAAUCAGAAAGCCACGGCUAACUACGUG